This 1152-nucleotide ribosomal RNA is filed under the name Triticum aestivum (bread wheat). RNAcentral describes it as "partial small subunit ribosomal RNA". Lineage: Eukaryota; Viridiplantae; Streptophyta; Magnoliopsida; Poales; Poaceae. The record is from RNAcentral.
AUGCUCGCAAUGUAUAGUGGUCAAAUAGGAUUAUUUUCUUCGCGAGACCUUUUACUUUUUUUUAUCAUGUGGGAGUUAGAAUUAAUUCCUGUUUACUUACUUUUAUCCAUGUGGGGGGGGAAGAGGCGUCUAUAUUCAGCUACAAAGUUUAUUUUGUAUACUGCAGGCGGUUCCAUUUUUUUCUUAAUCGGAGUUCUGGGUAUGGGCUUAUAUGGUUCCAACGAACCAGGAUUAGAUUUGGAAAGAUUAAUUAAUCAACCAUACCCUGCAACCUUGGAAAUACUUUUAUAUUUUGGCUUCCUUAUUGCUUAUGCUGUCAAAUUGCCGAUUAUACCCCUACAUACGUGGUUACCAGAUACCCAUGGGGAAGCACAUUAUAGUACAUGUAUGCUUUUAGCGGGAAUAUUAUUAAAGAUGGGAGCAUAUGGAUUGAUUCGGAUCAACAUGGAAUUGUUACCUCAUGCUCAUUAUCUAUUUUCGCCCUGGUUAGUAAUAAUAGGAGCGAUCCAAAUAAUCUAUGCAGCUUCAACUUCUCUUGGUCAACGAAAUUUCAAAAAAAGAAUAGCUUAUUCCUCUGUAUCUCACAUGGGUUUCAUAAUUAUAGGAAUUGGUUCCAUAACCAACAUUGGACUCAAUGGAGCUAUUUUACAAAUAUUAUCCCAUGGAUUUAUUGGUGCUACACUUUUUUUCUUGGCAGGAACCGCUUCAGAUAGAAUGCGUCUUGUUUAUCUCGAAGAACUGGGGGGAAUAUCUAUCCCAAUGCCUAAAAUUUUUACCAUGUUUAGUAGCUUUUCAAUGGCUUCUCUUGCCUUACCAGGAAUGAGUGGUUUUGUCGCAGAAUUAGUAGUAUUUUUUGGACUAAUUACUAGUCCAAAAUUUCUGUUAAUGCCAAAAACACUAAUUACUUUUGUAAUGGCAAUUGGAAUGAUAUUAACUCCUAUUUAUUUAUUAUCUAUGUUACGCCAGAUGUUCUAUGGAUACAAGCUAUUUAAUGUUCCAAACGCAAAUUUUGUGGAUUCUGGACCACGAGAACUCUUUAUUUUAAUCUGUAUCUUUUUACCAGUAAUAGGAUUUGGUAUUUAUCCAGAUUUUGUUCUCUCCCUAUCCGUUGACAGGGUAGAGGCUCUCUUAUCCAAUUAUUAUCCUAAAUAG